AAACCAACAGGGAUUGCCUUAGUAACGGCGAGUGAAGCGGCAAAAGCUCAAAUUUGAAAGCUAGCACCUUCGGUGUUCGCGUUGUAAUUUGAAGAUAGUUUCCUUGAGUAGUCCUUUAUCUAUGUUCCUUGGAACAGGACGUCAUAGAGGGUGAGAACCCCGUAUGAUUUUGGAUACUACUCUUUGUGGGAUUCUAUUGAAGAGUCGAGUUGUUUGGGAAUGCAGCUCUAAGUGGGUGGUAAAUUCCAUCUAAAGCUAAAUAUUGGCGAGAGACCGAUAGCGAACAAGUACAGUGAUGGAAAGAUGAAAAGAACUCUGAAGAGAGAGUGAAAAAGUACGUGAAAUUGCUGAAAGGGAAGGGCUUGAGGUCAGACUUGGUGUUUAAUGAUUAUCAGUUCUUCUUGGACUGUGCACUCGUUUUUCACCGGGCCAAUAUCAGUUUUAGCGGUAGAGUACCCCUUGAAAUGUGGCUUCCUUCGGGGAGUGUUAUAGUCUUGGGGAGAUCUACUUGCUGGGACUGAGGACUGCGCUUCGGCAAGGAUAUUGGCGUAAUGACCUUAAGCCGC
Molecule: ribosomal RNA, 566 nt
Filed under: Saccharomycopsis fibuligera
Lineage: Eukaryota; Fungi; Ascomycota; Saccharomycetes; Ascoideales; Saccharomycopsidaceae
Description: partial large subunit ribosomal RNA
Rfam family: Eukaryotic large subunit ribosomal RNA
Source: RNAcentral